CACAAUAUUGUACACCAUCACCACUAUUUCAAAAAUCUUUUAUUAUUUCAAGCAAAAACUCUAUAAUCAUUAAACAAAAGCUCUCCAUCCUCUCUCUCCCUAGAUCAUAAUUCCUAAUCUAUUUUCUGUCUUAUGAAUGCACCUAUUCGGAAUACCUUAUAAGUGUUAUCUGUUAUCAUAGAAUAUUUGUCCUUUCACAUCUAGAUUAUUUUGCUUAGCACAAUACCGUAAAGGCUCAUCUGUAUUAUAUAUAAGAUCUUUAUUCCUUUUUGUAGCUGAAUAAUAUUCUACUGUAUGGAAUUUCAUCAGCUGAUGCACAUUUGGAUUGUUUCUACCUUUUUGCCAUUAUGAAUAUUCUUGUUAUGAAUAUUUGUGUAAUUUUUGGGGGCAGUGCUUGGGAUUGAACCCUGGACCUCGCACAUGCUAGCACCAUUUGUUGAAGAGACUUCCCUCAUUGAAUGGUCUUGUCACCCUUGUCAAAAAUAAACUUCCCAAGGAUGAGUCUGUACCUCAGUGGUAGAGUGUUUGCCUAGCACAAGUGGCCAUGGAUUCAGUGCCCAGUACUGGAAAAAUAAUGACCAUUAACAUGUGAGUUUAGUUCUAGCAUCUCAAUUCUGUUCCACUGAUCUACGCAUCUGUCUUUAUGCCUCUACCACACUAUGUUGAUUACCAUUGUUUGGUGGUAAGUUUUGAAAUCAGGAAGUGUGAAUCCUUUAACUUUGUUCUUUUUCAAGAUUGCUUUGGUCCCUUGCAAUUGCACAUGAAUUUUAGGUUAAGAUUUCCCAUUUCAGAAAAAAAGGCAGUGGAGAUUUUGACAGAGAUUACAUUAAAUCUGUAGACCACUUUGGAGAGCAUUGCCAACUAAGAAUACUGUGUUUUCUAAUCAGUAAAUAUAGGAUAGCUUCCCAUUUAUUUAAAUCUACUUUAAUUUCUUUCAGCAGUAUCCUGUAGUUUUCAGUGUCUUUGAGUCUUGAACCUCUUUUAUUAAUUUGUAAGUAUUUUAUUCUGUUGAUGCU
This 1016-nucleotide long non-coding RNA is filed under the name Heterocephalus glaber (naked mole-rat). RNAcentral's name for it is "lncRNA (ENSHGLG00000042093.1)". The record is from RNAcentral. Lineage: Eukaryota; Metazoa; Chordata; Mammalia; Rodentia; Bathyergidae.